RNAcentral lists this transfer RNA (70 nucleotides) under Dipodomys ordii (Ord's kangaroo rat). It matches the Rfam family "tRNA". Rfam says of the family: Transfer RNA (tRNA) molecules are approximately 80 nucleotides in length. The record is from Rfam by way of RNAcentral. Lineage: Eukaryota; Metazoa; Chordata; Mammalia; Rodentia; Heteromyidae.
GGGAAUGUGGCUUAGUGGUAGAGUUCUUGCCUAGCAUGCAUGAAACUCUGGGUUCAAUUCCUUAGUACCA